Molecule: long non-coding RNA, 453 nt
Filed under: Macaca mulatta (Rhesus monkey)
Lineage: Eukaryota; Metazoa; Chordata; Mammalia; Primates; Cercopithecidae
Description: lncRNA (ENSMMUG00000045829.2)
Source: RNAcentral
CUGCCCACGCCUUGAUUUUAGGACUCUACUGGAAAAGCACAACUUUGUGUUGGUUUAAGCCACGGUGUCUGUGGGGCUUUGUGACAGCAGGAGAGGAACCAGCACACCACUCUCUCCCCAUCAGGGCCCUCCUGUGCGCUUAGAAGAUCUAGUGAGGAUGAAAUGCAUCACGUAACCAGAAACCUAUAGAAACAGUUUCUGAAUUUGCUUUUCGUAGGAGAGUCAGCCAAAAAUAUCAACAGCCACAAUUUAUUGGACGCCUUCAGGAAAAAUGUCAAAGCCAGGCAUUCGUCCAAAGAAAAACAUUAACAUCUGCCGUUUUUCUAAAUUGAAUGUGGAAGAUGAUCCUGACAGGCUGAACAAAGAUGCUUGCUCUCUGGUGUGAUGUUUGACAAGGGAAUCUUCUUUCAUUUUCUCCUCUGAUGAAACUCUCUACCAGAUAAGCCGCAGCAG